Molecule: long non-coding RNA, 254 nt
Filed under: Rattus norvegicus (Norway rat)
Lineage: Eukaryota; Metazoa; Chordata; Mammalia; Rodentia; Muridae
Description: long non-coding RNA NONRATT023558
Source: RNAcentral
CAUCUCUAGGUCAUAGACAUGCCAGAGCAUAACCCUGGGCAAAUGGGAGGAACCAUGAGGCUGGGCAAGAGGAGAACCCUGUUCCAGACCAAGAACUCAGUCAUGAGGAAACUCUAUGGAGACACAGACUACUUGGAAGAAAGGCACCGCCACCGAUUUGAGGUGAAUCCAGUCCUGAAAAAGUGCUUGGAAGAGCAAGGCUUGAAGUUUGUUGGCCAGGAUGUUGAAGGCGAGAGGAUGGAGAUCGUGGAGCU